GCCUUGAUGGUGUAGUGGUAACACACGUCCCCGUCAUGGGUGAAGCGGGUUCAACUCCCGUUCAAGAUC
Parelaphostrongylus tenuis is the source of this 69-nucleotide non-coding RNA. Lineage: Eukaryota; Metazoa; Nematoda; Chromadorea; Rhabditida; Metastrongylidae. The record is from the annotation of a GenBank genome assembly.